Molecule: ribosomal RNA, 585 nt
Filed under: uncultured bacterium
Lineage: Bacteria
Description: partial 16S ribosomal RNA
Rfam family: Bacterial small subunit ribosomal RNA
Source: RNAcentral
UGGGGAAUUUUGGACAAUGGGCGAAAGCCUGAUCCAGCAAUGCCGCGUGAGUGAAGAAGGCCUUCGGGUUGUAAAGCUCUUUUGUCAGGGAAGAAACGGUGAAAGCUAAUAUCUUUUGCUAAUGACGGUACCUGAAGAAUAAGCACCGGCUAACUACGUGCCGGCAGCCGCGGUAAUACGAAGGGUGCAAGCGUUAAUCGGAAUUACUGGGCGUAAAGCGUGCGCAGGCGGUUUUGUAAGUCUGAUGUGAAAUCCCCGGGCUCAACCUGGGAAUUGCAUUGGAGACUGCAAGGCUAGAAUCUGGCAGAGGGGGGUAGAAUUCCACGUGUAGCAGUGAAAUGCGUAGAUAUGUGGAGGAACACCGAUGGCGAAGGCAGCCCCCUGGGUCAAGAUUGACGCUCAUGCACGAAAGCGUGGGGAGCAAACAGGAUUAGAUACCCUGGUAGUCCACGCCCUAAACGAUGUCUACUAGUUGUCGGGUCUUAAUUGACUUGGUAACGCAGCUAACGCGUGAAGUAGACCGCCUGGGGAGUACGGUCGCAAGAUUAAAACUCAAAUGAAUUGACGGGGUCAUAGCUGUUUCCU